This 451-nucleotide ribosomal RNA is filed under the name uncultured bacterium. RNAcentral's name for it is "partial 16S ribosomal RNA". It matches the Rfam family "Bacterial small subunit ribosomal RNA", at positions 29 to 523 of the family's 1533-position model. The record is from RNAcentral.
AACGAACGCUGGCGGCAGGCUUAACACAUGCAAGUCUAACGGUUGUAGCAAUACAGCAGUGGCAGACGGGUGAGUAACACGUGGGAACCUUCCUAGGGGUACGGAACAACUCAGGGAAACUUGAGCUAAUACCGUAUACGUCCGUGAGGAGAAAGAUUUAUCGCCCUUAGACGGGCCCGCGUCGGAUUAGCUAGUUGGUGGGGUAACGGCCUACCAAGGCGACGAUCCGUAGCUGAUCUUAGAGGAUGAUCAGCCACACUGGGACUGAGACACGGCCCAGACUCCUCCGGGAGGCAGCAGUGGGGAAUCUUGGACAAUGGGCGCAAGCCUGAUCCAGCCAUGCCGCGUGAGUGAAGAAGGUCUUCGGAUUGUAAAGCUCUUUUGCCAGGGACGAUAAUGACGGUACCUGGAGAAUAAGCCCCGGCAAACUUCGUGCCAGCCGCCGCAGUAA